RNAcentral lists this ribosomal RNA (250 nucleotides) under uncultured bacterium. Its description in RNAcentral is "partial 16S ribosomal RNA". It matches the Rfam family "Bacterial small subunit ribosomal RNA", at positions 15 to 256 of the family's 1533-position model. The record is from RNAcentral.
GAUCCUGGCUCAGGACGAACGCUGGCGGCGUGCCUAACACAUGCAAGUCGAGCGGAAGUAUUUGAGGAGCUUGCUUUUUGGAUACUUUAGCGGCGGACGGGUGAGUAACGCGUGAGUAACCUGGCCUGUACAGGGGGAUAACAGUUAGAAAUGACUGCUAAUACCGCAUAAGACCACAGUACCGCAUGGUACAGGGGUCAAAGAAUUAUCGGUACAGGAUGGACUCGCGUCCCAUUAGCUAGUUGGCGGG